This 759-nucleotide ribosomal RNA is filed under the name Fuscopannaria praetermissa. Its description in RNAcentral is "SSU rRNA". It matches the Rfam family "Bacterial small subunit ribosomal RNA", at positions 367 to 1197 of the family's 1533-position model. The record is from RNAcentral. Lineage: Eukaryota; Fungi; Ascomycota; Lecanoromycetes; Peltigerales; Pannariaceae.
CUGAACCAGCAACUUGGAAGAAGGUAUAGCAAUAGCUAAUUGUAUUAGCAAAUAGUUUUUACAAUAUCGAUUUAAUCGACUAAAAUUCUAGGUAGAUUUAUGAUGAUGACAUUAUCUAUCUAUGUGUCUUGACCAAAUUUCGUGCCAGCAGUCGCGGUAAGACGUAAGAGACUAGUGUUAUUCAUCUUUAAUAGGUUUAAAGCGUACCUAGACGGUAAUUAAAGCCUAUAUCAGGAACUUGUUUACUAGAGUUAAAUGUAAGGGUGUAUUAAAGUACUGUUGAGUGUAGAGAUGAAAUUCGUUGAUACCAAAUAAUUGGCACAGGUAUAGGCGAAAGCAUCACUUUAUGUAAUAACUGACGUUGACGGACGAAGGCUUUGUGUCGCGAACAGGAUUAGAUACCCCAGUAGUCUUAGCAGAAAACUAUGAGUGUCAUAGGUUAGAUUUUAUUUGGUCUAUAAAUGAAAGUGUAAGCACUCCACCUCAAGAGUAAUUUGGCAACAUUGGAACUGAAAUCAUUAGACCGUUUCUGAAACCAGUAGUGAAGUAUGUUGUUUAAUUUGAUAAUCCGCAAAGAACCUUACCACAAUUUGAAUAUAAAUGAUUUAUUUUUACAAGCGUUGCACGGCUGUCUUCAGUUAAUGUCGUGAGAUAUUGGUUUAUUCCAUUAAAUUAACGUAAACCCGUACUUUAUUUUUAUAUAAAGUUGUUCAUUCGCUAUAAUGGAUGUGAUAACAGGGACUAAGACAAGUCAUCAUG